GAAGACUGUAAGAGAUUGCUUUCACUUUUUUCUCUCUCUUCUACUCGAAAACCGACUUGUUUUAACGCAUAUUCACAGAUUGGGGCGGUGAAUCGUGGGUGGGUGCCUUCUUUUUGUGCGGAGAGAACCUGAUGCCCAAGAUUUGGGCUUCUCACGGGGCUGCUGGUCAUGAUGAUGAAGCGUGGGCGGCGGCGGAUCUGAGAGACUGCAAAAUUCAAAGCUUUCUGGAGACCCAUCUUCAAAUCCUCCAUGACCCAUCGUCGAAUUUCUGAUCUUCAUCCAAAUUUUUGUGGGUAUCAAAGGAAAUUGAGUAAAAGCAUAGAAUAGAGUAGCCCCAAUUUGAUUACAACUGCUUUCAUCUUCUCAUGUUGAUUGAUUGAUUGAUUCUUUUUGAGGCAUGCCGUGUACCUUAUCAGCUAGAUUAUAGGGUUAUAUAUACAUAUAUAUUGAAUAUGCAUGCAAGGCAUCGCAGUCCUGGAAGUGGUUACAGGUCAGGUUCAGUUGGGAUGGGUUUAGAUGGUGCUUCUCUUCGAGGUCAUGGCUUUUACAAUUCCGACCACAGGAGCUUCAACCGUGGUGGUGGUUUUGGGCGGGGCCAGGCCCACCUAAAAUCAUACCACCAGCAACAGCCACCGCUGCCGCCACCACAACCUCACCGGAAAGCUGACAUUUUUAUGGAGGCAGGCAGGCUUGCGGCAGAGUAUAUGGUCUCUCAAGGUAUGCUGCCUCCCAACACCCUCGCUGCUAAAUGGCAGAAUGGUAGUUUAAAGAACGAGUUUAGUUCUCAAGAGGGAGAUAAUCUGGAGGGCAGGACAUCAGCCCUUGCCCGUUUGGGCAGUACUGGUUCUGAUGUAGGUUCUGGUAGGAGAAGAUACCCUGAUGAAUUUGAGACCAGGAAUUAUGUCAAAGGAAGGAAGAGAGGGAGGCCUCAUCAUGGGUUUGGAUCUGACUCGUCUCGAGACUAUGGGAGGAGUAGGUCAUGGUCUGGUAGGGAUAAGGGGGAGUUUGUUGUGGAGGGGGGCGAUGAUGAUAAUUUUUCUGAGAGGCGUCAGGAAGAGCAGCAAGGUACUAAGGAUGUCGGUAAUAGUUUUCCUGGGUGCAGCUCGGUGGAUUCAUUGGCCAAGGGUGAGGAAAUUGGUGAUGCUGAAUCUGGACAGGAGAAGCACAAUAGUUCGAAAGAAAUGGGUUCCAAGUUGAUUACUUCAAAUGUUGUGAAAGACAUUAUACAUGAGAAUGAUUGGCCAACCUCCAAGGUUGAUGGAGAAGUGACAAAUUCAAGUGUGGUGGCUGAUGAGACGAAGGAUGCUGCUAGCAAUGAUGGACUCGUGAAACAGGUUGUGCUGGUGGACUCACCCAUUCAGCAAUGUCCUCCAGAGGCUGCUUCCUCAAGCAAGAAGGGCACUGAUUUAUUGGCGCUGUGCAAAUUUUCUAAAAUGCCAACAAAAACACGAUCAUCCUUGACAUAUAGUAGGAAUUCGAAGGUUGAUCAUGUUCCUAAUAAAAAGGAGAACAAUUCCGACGGUGAGACAUAUGUAGGAUCUGAAGUCUUGGUUAAAGAUAACUCCCCGGAAGGAUCUGAAGUUUUGGUUAAAGAUAACUCCCUGGAAGGAUCUGAAGUCUUGGUUAAAGAUAACUCCCUAGACAUCUCACCAGUUGCUGUACAAUCAGAUAAACCUAAUCAUACUGAAGGCCCUGACUUGGAAACUUCAAAACAGCCAUCUGUUCAUUCUGUUGAGGAUGUAGGAGACUUGAGUCCAUCAUAUUCUGUCGAGCUGGGCACAUGUACAAGGUCCCCAUCUUUCCCUGAUAGAGGAUUUAUGCAUGAAGACAACAAAGUAGCAGGUGAGGGAACAUCAGGACUUGAAAGGACUGGCAUCGUGAAUGGAGAAAGAGGUGAGAAGCGACCUAACGAAUACAGUGAUAGCAGGGAGGGAAGCAAGAAACCAAAAGAAUGGAUUUCAUUUAUGGUUGGUAAGUCUGAUGAGUAUUUCCAGCUUUCCAAUUUGAGCAAUAACAAAGUGUAUUCACAAGAAGAGGGGCCUUUGUCUCGGUUUCCUGAAAGUGAAGUAUCUGUUGAGUAUGCACAGGAAAAACAGCUCUUGCCAAGUUCAUUUAAGACCUGCGAUCUUAAUCUCAUGGAAGUGUCUGAUAUGAAUGAGAGUCAUCACAGUGAUCCAAUGCUUAUAUACCCAUCCAUUCCUGAAGCCAAAAGAAAAGCAGCACCUAUUGAUGUUGAUUUGUCCAUAAGUAAUUCCAAUUUAUGUGGUGAUUACAGUAUGCGAACAAGUGAUGGCAAGGAGAUUGAAGUAAUUGACUUAGAUAAUGAUUCUGCACCUGAAGACAAGGCUUUUGGUAAUUUACAAAGAAAGAUGGAGCCUGUGUUUCCUGGCUUGGAGGGCUUUUCCAACAAUGCCGCAAAUGCUAGUGAUAUUCCUGAUGUUGAUGAUAAUUAUGAUGGCCUUUUACUGUCUGAAUACUUGAACUCUUUUCCAAACUGUGCUGCAAUACCAGAGGACAUCAAUCCAAUGCAGAAUGAGAUGAACCUUCACAAUGGCGAGGUACCACAGAAAAUGGGGACUCUCGCUGAUGAUGACUCAAUCUAUACUUCCCUGGGAGAAAUACCGCUAAGUAUGCCAGAUAUUUAAUUUCAUGGUUUCAAAGGUGAUGCAAGCUACUCAAGCUUCACAGAUAUGUAGUGGUCCUUCUAUAUACUCAAGCACAUGGACAAAGGAAGUAGAGCAAGGCUCGGCGACGAACUUGGAAAACUGAGAAUGGACUUGUAUUUUCUUUAAUUUCUUAACCAAAGGUGAAGAUUUAGAUUAUGAAGUGUUCUACAAUUUCUGAUAUAUUAGCAGUUAGCGUAUUUGGAUGGAAUAGUUCCAGAAGAUGUGUAUAGAGGUUGAAGAUGCUUUCUGAUUUUGGGGCUGCCAAUUUGUAUUUUCAUUUGAAUGUGAAGAAUGUUAAUCUUAGCUUGAGAUCUUAAGCAACACAAAGUUGUUUAGCUUGAGACAUUGAUUCAUGGACUUUAUUUUACUGUGGUGUUGUAGUGUACCUUGAAAUCUUGAAUAUUGUUGUGAUACAUUUCUGAAAAAAUAGAGCCAGGAUUAUGAAUUUGAUAGAUGUGCCUUUGUACC
Molecule: RNA transcript, 3134 nt
Organism: Tripterygium wilfordii
Lineage: Eukaryota; Viridiplantae; Streptophyta; Magnoliopsida; Celastrales; Celastraceae
Exons: 6
Source: RefSeq, a predicted model, not a curated record